RNAcentral lists this ribosomal RNA (421 nucleotides) under uncultured bacterium. Its description in RNAcentral is "partial 16S ribosomal RNA". It matches the Rfam family "Bacterial small subunit ribosomal RNA", at positions 360 to 773 of the family's 1533-position model. The record is from RNAcentral.
AAUAUUUGACUCUGUGGGCAACCCUGAUCCCGCCAUGUCGCGUGUGUGAAGAAGGUCUUCGGAUUGUAAAACACUUUAAGUGUGGAGGAGGAGCUUUAUGCUAAUACAGUCCAGUUAUGACGUUACCAACAGAAUAAGCACCGACUUACGCUGUACCAGCAGCCGCGGUAAUACAGAGGGUGCAAGCGUUAAUCGGAAUUACUGGGCGUAAAGCGCGCGUAGGUGGUUCAGUAAGAUGGGUGUGAAAUCCCCGGGCUUAACCUGGGAACUGCUUUCAUAACUGCUGAGCUAGAGUACGGUAGAGGGUAGUGGAAUGUCCUGUGUAGCGGUGAAAUGCGUAGAUAUAGGAAGGAACACCAGUGGCGAAGGCGACUACCUGGACUGAUACUGACACUGAGGUGCGAAAGCGUGGGGAGCAAAC